GGCUCGGUAGAUUAGUUGGUAAAGCGCUCGUCCAGCAUACAAGAGUCCUGGGUUCAAAUCCCAGCCGAACAC
Molecule: non-coding RNA, 72 nt
Organism: Aedes aegypti (yellow fever mosquito)
Lineage: Eukaryota; Metazoa; Arthropoda; Insecta; Diptera; Culicidae
Source: Rfam